RNAcentral lists this long non-coding RNA (691 nucleotides) under Homo sapiens (human). RNAcentral describes it as "HSALNT0293782". Lineage: Eukaryota; Metazoa; Chordata; Mammalia; Primates; Hominidae. The record is from RNAcentral.
GCCGCAGACAGUGCCCGUGCCGGGGCGGGGAGGCGAGUUCUCCCUGCGGCCGCGGACCCUGGAUGGUGGCGUCGCCCGAAGACGCGCCUCACCGGCCUGGGUGGGGUUGCCUUUUGCCCUCGAGGCUGGCCUAAGCGCUGGGGGGCCGCUGGCUAACCCUGAGGUAGAUACUCGGGAAAUGGGUGGAAUAGGGAAAGGGACUCAGCCCUUCCGCCCUUUUCCCCAGUCGAGGCCCGCGUCACUGCCCUGUGGGUGCAGACGCCUCCAGUGUCACUCCCCUGGAUUUCGCUUGGGCAGAAGAAGAGAUUGUAGGCCGGACCCCAACGCCGAAGCCCUGAGGCUUCUAAUGUGAGGAAAAACACGGAAUGACAAGUGUGGGAAAGAGCAAGCACUAAAUUACUGUCAGAAAAAUAAACGGAGUAGCACAGUGCUGCUCGGUGAUUUACGGGGGCAAUUAGUCACCACCCCACGGCGCUGCUGAGGACAGCACGGCAGCAGACAAGUCAGGCCCAUGAGGAAGAAGAGGCUUUGCACUGCUCUCCAGACAACUUUUCAAACAACAAGAGAGGAUAUUUGAGCACAUUAGGUUUUGUGUCUUCAUUCUGGUCAGAGCCUCCCUCUGUCGCCCAGGCUGGAGUGCAGUGGCAUGAUCUCGGCUCACUGCAACCUCCGCCUCCCGGGUUCAAGUGAU